Molecule: long non-coding RNA, 1395 nt
Filed under: Cairina moschata (Muscovy duck)
Lineage: Eukaryota; Metazoa; Chordata; Aves; Anseriformes; Anatidae
Description: domestica (muscovy Duck (domestic type)) lncRNA (ENSCMMG00000013592.1)
Source: RNAcentral
AUGCACUGCUUGCUUUUAGUGUGUCCCCCCACCCGCCCCAUGCCCCCAGCAGCCCCUCGUGGCGUGUCCCUCACCCCCAGCAGCUCGACGCCUUGCAUGGAGCUGCAUGUGAGUGGCACACGGGGGGGUGGCUCUGUACCCGUGGUGUCCCGUGACAUGCUGAGGGGAUCAGUCGGGGCAAGGGGACCAGAGCCAGAAGGGCUCCAUCACCCCUGGGACACUGGUUCUGUGCUGGGGCUCCUGCCCCAAACUGGUGGGGAUGUCCUUGGCCUGGGGGUGAUGGCACGGGGACAUCCCGGUACCAGGGGACAUCCUCGUCCUGGGGAGGGACAGGCACUGGGGAAGGGGCCACGGGAGGCCCCCGGGUGGCGGCGCACAGCCCCGUGCCGGGGGAGGAGCGGGGGCAUCGCGGUGCGGCUCCGGGAGGACGCCCCCCGUUGCGCGGAGCAUCCCGCCGCCAAGGAGCAUCCCUGGCCGGGGCUGCGCCGGGGCCGUGCCGCUCACCUUCCCCGCGGCCCCCCCCCGUCCCCUCCAUCCUCCCGGUGCCCGGUACUCACAUCUCCAGCAGGCGUCCCGCCCGCCCGCCGCGCUCAUGGCCCCGCCGGAGCCCGGCCCGGCACGGCCCGGCACGGCCCCCCCCGAGCGGCUCCGGGCCGAGCGCGCCGCCCCCGAGCCGUACCACGCCGCCGACGGCAGGGGGAGCGGGGCGAACCACGGCGGGGGCGGCCGGGGGUGGGCGAGACCCCCCCGGUUCCGAGCUGCCCCCCAUGCCGGGGGUCCCCCGAGCCCCGCCGGGGGAGGCUCCGCGCUCUCCGUGCGCCCCGCGUCCCGUGCGCCACGGGGGGACGGCCGGUGCCGGCCCCUUCCCAGGAGUCGUGUCCCGUCCUGGGGGGAGCUUCUGGCCUCCGCAGGACCCCCCGCAUCCUCUGCAGGACCCUCGUAGCCCCGUGGUCCGGCCCCAUCCCACUCUCCCACCGUGUCCCCGUGUCCCCACCACGGCUGCUGGGACCCGCUGGGGACACUGGGCACCAGCCAAGUGCGAGCCCCUGGGUGCAGCGUGGGCAGGACGGGGGCUGUGGCCGAAAUGAAGAGGUCGAGGAGACAAAAGGGCUCUUCCGAAUGGAGAGGUCUUUGUUAUCCGCCCGGUUGGUGGCAGGGGACCCACGGUGCCAGGCUGGUGGCUUUGUGGCGAUGCCCGUGUCCUGCUGCCGGCGGCACCACGCUGAGCCUGGCCCUCACCCUGAGCCAUGCCAAGGUUUGUGCCACCCAAAGGCCACUCCUGGCUCCUCGCCAGCCACCAGUUUAAGCUGUCCCAGGCUGGGCAUCUCCUUGCCAUGGUGGUUGUCAACAGAGGAAGGCGAGGAGCAGAAGAUGACACCGCGUCUGGGAUGCUGA